Molecule: long non-coding RNA, 741 nt
Filed under: Phoenix dactylifera (date palm)
Lineage: Eukaryota; Viridiplantae; Streptophyta; Magnoliopsida; Arecales; Arecaceae
Description: long non-coding RNA (PDAC_LNC018744)
Source: RNAcentral
GAUGCAGGAGCAGUGGAAGCUCCGAACCACUAUAAACCUUUGCGUUUGCGAUUGACUAUGCUUACAACUUUAUUUUUACUUUAGCACAUACACUUGUGUGUUUUUGUUUAAUUAGACAAAAAGUUUUAAAACACCCAAUUCACCCUCCUCUUGGGUGACCAUCUCUGGGCAACAUAUAUGAUAAACAAAAUGUUUUCAUUAGCUUAUGAUAACAAAAUUGUUGAAUUACAGAAUUCAGGUACAAAUAUCUAAUUAACACAUUCUUACGAAAAAUUUUAGUUCAAACCCGCAAAACUAGAUAUCUUACGACUCUGAAAAAAGUGGUAAAGUAAUAAUAUGAGCUAAUAGCUUAGUAAGAAUCCCACGUAGACCGAAAAAUAAAAUAAUAUCUUUUAACAAAACUUUAUAUAUAAUUGCUGAAAUGAAAAUACCGCUUUCAUAAAAUUCAUAUGCCAAUGUUGCUGCUGAGAACCGGCUCGUCCUAGGAACCAUAAUAAGAAGUGCGACUGCGUUAGAGAAUUCGGUUGUCGGCUGCUCUGAUUGGGAUUGGAUAGGGCGAGUGGCAUGCGGUCGCUGUCGGGGUCCUUCUUGGGUAGCCGCACUCUGACCUGAAUCAGUACAAACAAAAAAAUCCUCUGACCGGAGCGUAUCCGGUAGAAACCCUCCGAUGUCUAAGUCAGAAAAGUGCUCGGAGAAUAGAAGGAGGUUCUCUCGCAGUCUGUUAGGGCAUCUUUUGUGCAC